UAGUCAUAUGCUUGUCUCAAAGAUUAAGCCAUGCAUGUCUAAGUAUAAACAACAUUAUACUGUGAAACUGCGAAUGGCUCAUUAUAUCAGUUAUAGUUUACUUGAUGAUCCUUGCUACUUGGAUACCCGUAGUAAUUCUAGAGCUAAUACAUGCACCAAACCCCGACUGCUUGGAAGGGGUGUAUAUAUUAGAUGGAAACCAAUGCGGGGCAACCCGGAAUAUGGUGAUUCAUAAUAUCUUUCGGAUCGACUUCGGUCGAUACAUCAUUCAAGUUUCUGCCCUAUCAGCUUUGGAUGGUAGGGUAUUGGCCUACCAUGGCUUUAACGGGUAACGGAGAAUUAGGGUUCGAUUCCGGAGAGGGAGCCUGAGAAAUGGCUACUACAUCCAAGGAAGGCAGCAGGCGCGUAAAUUACCCAAUCCUGACACAGGGAGGUAGUGACAAUAAAUAACAAUGCCGGGCCUUUUAUGGUUUGGCAAUUGGAAUGAGAACAAUUUAAAUCCCUUAUCGAGGAUCAAUU
RNAcentral lists this ribosomal RNA (519 nucleotides) under uncultured eukaryote. RNAcentral's name for it is "SSU rRNA". It matches the Rfam family "Eukaryotic small subunit ribosomal RNA", at positions 21 to 549 of the family's 1831-position model. The record is from RNAcentral.